This 1751-nucleotide ribosomal RNA is filed under the name Triticum aestivum (bread wheat). Its description in RNAcentral is "partial small subunit ribosomal RNA". Lineage: Eukaryota; Viridiplantae; Streptophyta; Magnoliopsida; Poales; Poaceae. The record is from RNAcentral.
GUCCGGGCCGUUGCAAUUGACUCCGCGAGAGGUUCCUGUUCCCUGGCGGAGAGAGAGAGGCAGGGAGGGAGAGGAAGGAGAGACCGAAGGCCGCGGUGUUUUUACCCCGUCUCUUCCUCCGCCUUCGAGCUUUACUGAAACUCCGAUCUCAGAAACCAAGAAAAGGGGAUCUGUGAAGAGGUUUCUCGCGGCAGAACAAUGGAGGUACUUGGCAAAUCUGUGAUUGCUGAGCCCAGCAAUGUGAUUUUCUUGUCCACUAUUCUGAACACAGAAGGGGAAAUCCCCAGUCACAAGUGUGACAAGAGGUGCCAGAAUGAGCACAUCUUUGGAAACAUGUACCGCUGUAAACUGACUGGAAUGACACAUAUUUGUGACAAAAACUGUAACCAGAGGAUCCUCUAUGACAACCACAACUCGCUUUGCCGAGUGAGUGGGCAGUUGUUCCCGCUCUCGCCACUGGAGCUGCAGGCAGUGAGGGGGAUUCGGAGGAAGCAUGAAGCUGACAGCCAUGAAGGGUGCUCCUUCAAGCGCAGGCGUGGUGCACAGCUGCAUCCUUCCCCUUUUGAGAGGUCCUACUCCGCCGUGUCUCCGAUACCGAGCCAAGCUGGAGAUGGCAUGGACCUGAGCUAGAGCUAACGAGACUUCCAUCUUUUCUUGCCCCGGCUACCUUAUGCGGAUGUCUACUCCAUUUCCCCUUCUUUGACACGAUGGAAACUAUAAGAGCUUCCUUCUUUAUAGACUUAUGAAGGGAUAUGAGACUCCUUAGAGGCACUAAAUAAUGUCUAUGUAGUAUCAAUUCAGUUUCAUGGGACCUUGUUGUAAUCGUAACUUCGAUUGAACAGCCUAUUCUGAAUUACUUAGUGUUAAUCAUUUGCUAUUACCGUUUAGAUUAUUUCUCUAUAGUGCGGUGCUCUUGUUUCCUCCAACUUUUCAUUAUUGUAGCUCCUUUCUUUCUUAUGCUCUCUUGAGGUUCAUUAUCUGCUGCAUUUAAGUGCAUUCAAGCUGUGCAAAUUUGCUUGACAUAGUUGGUGAUGUAUAUCCGUUGCAGACAUUAUCGUAUUUCUUGGGGCGUGAACUUACUAACUAAAUUUCCUUCAUAAUUAGUGCUUUGCAUGGCAGGUUGCUGAUCAGGUCUCAGCUAUUUAUGGUGAAUUGGUGUUCGUUCUUUCGCUCUUCUUGGUCCAUGGGAGGCAGGAGCUAUGGAAGAUCAUUGAAAUCCUUUGCAGCAGUGGAAUAGCAAUGUACCAUCAAAGUCUUCGGCUGCAGAAUGCUUUUCAGUGCAUUGUGCACAACAGAAAUCAUCAGCAGAAGAGGGGUUUGGAAUUAUUCAAACAAGAGCCAGCCUGAAGCAACUGAAACUUCAAAACUCAUACUGGAGAAGAGCCUGCAGGAGCUUGAUAUCGCAUUGCUGCUGCGGUGGGAGAAGUCUACUCCAGUAUCUGCCAUCUGCGAUCCAAAGCAAAACUCUCUGUAGAUCUAGUUGAGUAUCCACCAUCUGCGAUCCAAACCAAGAUAGAUCUCUGAAGAUAUAGUUGAGUAUCCACCAUCUGCGAUCCAAACCAAGAUGUCUGAAGAUCUCAACAGAUUUUAGUGUCCCUAAUCCAACAAGCUUGUUCUCAACGCAAACUUAUACUGCCGUGGAAUUUCCUUUUUCCAUUCUAAAAGGGAUUAGGUCAUGAUUGUUCAUUGUAAGGCAAUUAUAUCCAGAGUAAAGGGAACUUUCCUUCUGCCUCAAGUUUUGUUGAUUCCCA